RNAcentral lists this non-coding RNA (34 nucleotides) under Prorocentrum micans. Lineage: Eukaryota; Dinophyceae; Prorocentrales; Prorocentraceae. The record is from RNAcentral.
UUUUUUUUUUUUUUUUUUUUUUUUUUUUUCCAAC